Molecule: ribosomal RNA, 274 nt
Filed under: uncultured bacterium
Lineage: Bacteria
Description: partial 16S ribosomal RNA
Rfam family: Bacterial small subunit ribosomal RNA
Source: RNAcentral
AUACGGAGGGUGCAAGCGUUACUCGGAAUCACGGGGCGUAAAGCGCGCGCAGGCGGCUAUUUAAGUUGGAUGUGAAAGCCUACGGCUCAACCGUAGAACUGCAUCCAAAACUAUUUAGCUAGAGUGUGGGAGAGGAAGAUGGAAUUAGUUGUGUAGGGGUAAAGUCCGUAGAGAUAACUAGGAAUACCAAAAGCGAAGGCAAUCUUCUGGAACACUACUGACGCUGAGGCGCGAAAGCGUGGGGAGCAAACGGGAUUAGAUACCCUAGUAGUCC